RNAcentral lists this ribosomal RNA (230 nucleotides) under uncultured bacterium. Its description in RNAcentral is "partial 16S ribosomal RNA". It matches the Rfam family "Bacterial small subunit ribosomal RNA", at positions 524 to 746 of the family's 1533-position model. The record is from RNAcentral.
UACGUAGGGUGCAAGCGUUGUCCGGAAUUAUUGGGCGUAAAGAGCUCGUAGGCGGUCUGUCGCGUCUGCUGUGAAAACUCAGGGCUUAACCCUGAGCUUGCAGUGGGUACGGGCAGACUAGAGUGCGGUAGGGGAGACUGGAAUUCCUGGUGUAGCGGUGAAAUGCGCAGAUAGUCAGGGAGGGAACACCGGUGGGCCGAAAGGCGGGUCUCUGGGCCGUAACUGAACGC